UGACUACCCCCCUGAAUUUAAGCAUAUCACUGAGCGGAGGAAAAGAAAAGAACUCCGAUUCCCGUAGUAAUGGCGAAUGAACUGGGAAAAGCCCAUAACCGAACCCGGCACCUUUCGGGUGUUUGGGAAUGUGGUGUUUGGGAGGUGCCAUUUCCGACCCGUUCAUGGGCAUCCAAAGUCCGUUGGAAUGCGGCCCCGUAGAGGGUGAGAGGCCCGUACGGGUGUCUUGUCGGGACGGUUGGUGCUCUCCUUAGAGUCGGGUUGCUUGCGAGUGCAGCCUAAAGCGGCAGGUAAGCUCCUGUUAAGGCUAAAUAUGACCGGGAGACCGAUAGCGAACAAGUACCGUGAGGGAAAGUUGCAAAGAACUUUGAAGAGAGGGUUAAAUAGUACGUGAAACCGCCCGGAGGAUAAGCGGCUGGAACCUCGAGUCCGAAGGGCAGAGUCAACCGCAUCCCGCAACCGUCCGGAUUCACUUGUGCUCGUCUUAGCGGCGAUCUGAUCGAGUUCGGCGGACGGGUGAGGUGCACUUCUGCCCAGUAGGAUGUCGCGACUGGCUGGCGACUGCGUGUGGGGCCCAGGUUAUUGUUCCUAGGACUUGAUCCGAAGACGCCUGGUGUGUCCCUCGAGUCUGCGUCCGGCCGUCUUCUGGGGAGCGGGGGACGAGCUUCGGCUCGUGGCGAUUGGCAGGUGGCUGGCGAGCUGUGUUCUAUGGUAUGGCCGGGAGGGCUUCGACUCUUCCGUCCUGCUUGGAAUCCGACUCGCGUGAAGGCUGCGUUGCUUUGUUAUUCAGCUCGCUGCUGUCCCUCUCCGCACGCGGCAUUGCGAAAAUGUGGUUCCGUCUGUCCCGUCUUGAAACACGGACCAAGGAGUCCAGCGCAUGCGCGAGCCAGUGACUGUUGUCGAAGGUCACGGACGUAAACGAAAGUGAAGCCUGUCUUCGGAUGGGUGACGGAGGAUCUCGGUGCUUGUAAGAGCCCGAGCGCACUCUGGGGGUGUCCCGUCUACCUGGCCGCUUCGCGGCUUGCCGAGUUGCGACUGGGUGGGAUGCACCGAGGAGCGCACGUGCUGGGACCCGAAAUGGUGACUAUGCCUGCCCAGGUUGAGCAGGGAACCUGGACCUGGUGGAGGACCGCAGCGGUUCUGACGUGCAAAUCGAUCGUCCGAGGUGGGUAUAGGGGCGCAAGACUAAUCGAACCAUCUAGUAGCUGGUUCCCGCCGAAGUUUCCCUCAGGAUAGCUGGUGCUCGAGUGUGACGAGAGUCUCAUCCGGUAAAGUGAAUGAUCAGGGGCCUUGGGGGCGAAACGACCUCAACCUAUUCUCAAACUUUAAAUGCGUGAGAGCUUGGGCUUUCUCGAACGAAGCUCACGUGUGGAUCCAUGAGUGCCCAGUGGGCCCGUCCUGGUAAGCAGGACUGGCGCUGUGGGAUGAACCAAACGCCGGGUUAAGGCGGCCAAAUCUAUGCUGAUCAGACACCAGAAAAGGCGUUGUUUGCUUAGGACAGUAGGACGGUGGCCAUGGAAGUCGGCAUCCGCCAAGAAGUGUGUAACGACAUACCUACCGAAGCAAGCAGCCCUGAAAAUGGAUGCCGCUCAAGCAUUGUGCCGAUACCUGGCCGUCGGGACAGAGCUGGCCUUCCCCAGGGCACACAGGUCCCGACGAGUAGGCGGUGCGCGGCGGUCGCUGCGAAGGGUCUGGGCGUGAGCCUGCCUAGAGCGGCCGUCGGUGCAGAUCUUGGUGGUAGUAGCAAUUACUCGAGUGGGAACCUCGAGGUCUGAUGUGGAGCAGGGUUCCAUGUGAACAGCAAUUGAACAUGGGUUAGUCGGUCCUAAGGCGCAGGAGAAAUCCGGGGAAAGGCAGGGGCGAUCUUCUGAACCGCCUCCACCCAGCCGAAAGGGAAUGCGGUUAAAAUUCUGCAACUCGGACACGGAUAACCCCCUUGCGGGGUGUUGGGGCCUUUGCAGCCUAUGCCGUGAGGCAAACGAACUCGGGGACGCCGACCGCUGCCCCGGGCAGAGUUGUCUGUUCUGCUUAAGGGCCCGGAUCCCUGGAAUUGGCUCGGCCAGAGAAAGGGAACUGGUGCCUGAAGAGCCCCGCAGCUCUCGCGGGGUCCGAUGGGUAGCGUUUGGCCCUUGAAAACCCGGGGGAGGGCGUACUGACUUUCGUGCCGAGCCGUACCCAUAUCCGCAGCAGGUCUCCGAGGUGAACAGCCUCUGGACUCUAGGUUAAUGUAGGUAAGGGAAAUCGGCAAAUUGGAUCCGUAACUUCGGGAGAAGGAUUGGCUCUGAGGGCCGGGUCGGUCGGGCCCUGUCAGGAAAUGGUUAGUGGCGCCGUUGUCGGACCUGGGCGGGUGGCGCGUUCGCUUCGGCGGCCUGCUCUUGCUCGGACCGGCACUGGUGUCCACGCCCCAUGGAUCGGCUGGGCUGUGGGCACGUGCCUUAGCAGAGAUGCGAGGGUCGUGAACGCUUCGGCCGGCAAUCAACGGCCGACUCAGAACUGGCACGGACCGAGGGAAUCCGACUGUUUAAUUAAAACAUAGCAAGCCGGAUGCCCGAGAGGGUUGUUACGGCUUGUGAAUUCUGCCCAGUGCUCUGAAUGUCGAAGUGAAGAAAUUCACCGAAGCGCGGGUAAACGGCGGGAGUAACUAUGACUCUCUUAAGGUAGCCAAAUGCCUCGUCAUCUAAUUAGUGACGCGCAUGAAUGGAUCAACGAGAUUCCCACUGUCCCUAUCUACUGUCUAGCGAAACCACAGCCAAGGGAACGGGCUUGGACGAAACAGCGGGGAAAGAAGACCCUGUUGAGCUUGACUCUAGUCUGGUGCUGUGAAGAGACACGUAAGAUGUAGGAUAAGUGGGAGCGCCGGAGGUUCGCCUCAACGGUUGUAGCCAGUGAAAUACCACUACUUUCGUAGUUUCUUCACUAACCCGGUUAGGCGGAGCCCGGACUCUUCUGAGUUCCGGAUCUGAAGCGUUAAGUGUGGGCUGCAAGCGGCCUGCACGAUCCGAUUCGGGGACAGUGCCAGAUGGGGAGUUUGACUGGGGCGGUACAUCUGUCACAAGUUAACGCAGGUGUCCUAAGGCCGUCUCAGCGAGGACAGAAACCUCGCGUGGAGCAAAAGGGCAAAUGACGGCUUGAUCCUGGUGUUCAGUAGGCACACGGACCGUGAAAGCGGGGCCUAUCGAUCCUCUUAUUUUGAGAGCUCAAGCAAGAGGUCAGANAA
This 3217-nucleotide ribosomal RNA is filed under the name Pontopolycope orientalis. Its description in RNAcentral is "partial 28S rRNA". It matches the Rfam family "Eukaryotic large subunit ribosomal RNA", at positions 24 to 2813 of the family's 3401-position model. The record is from RNAcentral. Lineage: Eukaryota; Metazoa; Arthropoda; Ostracoda; Halocyprida; Polycopidae.